This 86-nucleotide transfer RNA is filed under the name Flavobacteriales bacterium. RNAcentral's name for it is "tRNA-Ser". It matches the Rfam family "tRNA". From Rfam's summary of the family: Transfer RNA (tRNA) molecules are approximately 80 nucleotides in length. Their secondary structure includes four short double-helical elements and three loops (D, anti-codon, and T loops). Lineage: Bacteria; Pseudomonadati; Bacteroidota; Flavobacteriia; Flavobacteriales. The record is from RNAcentral.
GGAGAGGUGGCCGAGUGGCUUAAGGCGCACGCUUGGAAAGCGUGUAUAUGUAAAUCAUAUCGGGGGUUCGAAUCCCUUUCUCUCCG